This is a long non-coding RNA of Lathyrus oleraceus (garden pea), 2166 nucleotides long. RefSeq lists it as uncharacterized. The record is from RefSeq and is a predicted model, not a curated record. The transcript is spliced from 7 exons. NCBI's taxonomy places the organism in Eukaryota, Viridiplantae, Streptophyta, Magnoliopsida, Fabales, Fabaceae.
AUGAAUGAGCUAGAGUUCACUCUUCCUCUCUCAAACUCUCCAUCGCUCUCAUUCUGUACCAAACCCCUCUCAUUUUUCAGAACAACAACACCUAAACCGUACAGAAGCAUCACGAAAUAACACCGGUGAUGGAUUUUCAAACAAUGACAAACAAAUAAUGGUAAACAAUCGAACGCAUCAUGCAUAAAGAGAAAGUGAUAACCUGUGAACCCGCGGACGCGACGUCGACGUGAUCGAUUUGGCCUUCCUCUGAACUGCCUUCGCCUCCUUUUCUUCGUAGCGGUGGCUUCAGAUAGGGUUUCGAAUUUGGUCUAUGGAGAUCAAAAGGGGUUUAUGCCAAAAACACUUUUUGUGCCCAGUAUUGGAUUGGUCCCUUUGAUGUUUGAAUUUGGAACAGUAAAAAUAUUGAAGAUUCAAAAGCAGUUUCGAUUUUGAUCACAACUCUGGUUCACAGUUUCGGUUACGGUGAAUGAAAAUGUUCCGCCGGAGAUCUCCGAAAUUGAGUGCAUCGACGAGGCAUCAUGGUCUGCGCCAAAUCCAAAAGCAUGCACGGGAAUUUGAAAUCCCGAAUUAUCUCGACCACUGAUGGAAAUCGGCAGAAGCAAAUGAUAGUUUGGUUGAGGUUGGUCAUUUCCCGAGCUGCCAACAGUGUAAUUAUCUUGCCCAUCCGACAACAGAAUAAUAUUCGCAACUGGAUUCUUUUCUUUUCGGUGUUCCAUUAUCUUGGCACCUUUUCUCAGCUCUUCCGCAAUAUUGGUACCACCAUUUGCAACCAAAGAAUUAACAGCUUGUAAUGCCUGUUGCCGUCCAGAAUCAGUCAUCUUACAUAGUGGAAGGAGACGGCGAGCCGUGGAAGAGAAAACAAUAACAGAAAUCCCAUAGCCCUUUUUAGUAGUGCGAUCUUAGUUCCAGCCAGGCUACCACUGAUGUCAAGCAUGGUGACCAAGUCAAAUAGGGCACGCGGAGUCUGCGAGGUCCGUGUCAAGCUGGUUUGAUUUCUGCUAAGAUUUUGUCUUCUGGUAGAAGCAGCGGCUGCAGCAGUAGCUUUGAGAUGAACCAAAACUGUGAAGUUAGCACAAGUGUCGGACCUUGGAACGGAAGACACUUCAGGAAAUUGCAUUGUUGGUGAUGAUGGAGCUGGAAGCAUUCCAACAGAACUUUGCGGAAGACCGGCAGUCCUUGUUGGAGUCACUCAGAAGCUGAUUGCAGGUUGACUCAAGGAAUAGCAUCUCAAAAACUAUUGUCUGCCGCAACCACACGCUCAUACAUGGCUUCCGGUGCUCUGUUGGAGUUGAGUCUCCUGCAAAUGCAGUUCUUUCUCUCUAGUUGUAACAGGUUUGUCAAGUUUGGAAUUCUGCACAAAAUUGCAUUGGCCGCCGGUUGAUUUUAAUAACAGGUGCUUGGCUUGUAUUUUGAUGAGGCUGAAGCACAAUAGUCAGUUUAAGAAUUUAAUCGUCUUGAAAUGACUCCGGUGGGUCUUAGCAUGACGGUAACCGUACAUAUAUAAUCCUGUACUUCCAAACUCCUUUGCUUUGUCAAUGAGACCAGCUCUUCCAAAGAGAUGGUCCAUACAAGAAUAGUGCUUAAUCCUUGAAUUUAUUUGCGUAGACUUCUAUCAUUUGUCUAAAUAGCAAUUGCCCUUGUGUUACAAGACCGGAAUGAAUACAAGCUGUAGGUUUGAGGCCUGUUUAGAACCGCUACCAUUGUUACAUGAUCUGGCUUAAUAUUAUUAUUGAACUGAUGUACAAUUUGUUUUGUUUGCUUGGAAACCAAAACCUGCAGGUUUGAGGUAUGUGAAAUGACCGGAUUGCAGAUUGGUUCAGGUUGGAGAGGCUAUUGGUUGAAUUGAAACUGAAUUCUGUUAGAAACUCAGUUGGAAAAAACCGGUUAUCAAUUAUUGAAUAUUGGAUCAAUAUUGAAGGUUGAUUGUAAGGUCAUUAUGAGUGCUUUGGAGAUUAAAAAAAAAUCUGUUAUAGUGAAGAAGUCAUUUUGCUUUUAUUCCUGUUGUGGAAUUUUUUUUAUAUUUCCUUUUAAUUCCAACCAAUUAUUGUAAUGUAUUAGUCCUUAGGAUGUAAUAAGUUGUAAUAGUAUUUAGCUUAUGUAAAAUGAUUCACACAAUGCCAAAUCUCAUGUAAUGCAAUGCAUAUGGACAUGUUUAUGGGAUCA